Brassica napus (rape) is the source of this 3759-nucleotide long non-coding RNA. RefSeq lists it as uncharacterized. The record is from RefSeq and is a predicted model, not a curated record. The transcript has 3 exons. Lineage: Eukaryota; Viridiplantae; Streptophyta; Magnoliopsida; Brassicales; Brassicaceae.
UGAUAAAGAUCAGAACUUUGAUGACACCGUUGAGGUAUAUCCAAACUUCAAUAUAUUUGAUAAGAAAAAAGUAUACCAAUAGAACAUACUCAGAUCAACGAAGAGACCCUUAGUUAGGGUUGCAUCCUAAAAAGUUGUUGCAGUGAUGAGAUAGGUGCUGGAAUGGUUUCCGACAACACUGUUGAUAUAGAUGGUGUGGAGUAUCGAACUUGUGAUGCCAAGAUCUUUAUGGCACACCAUGGUGAUUUAACUUCUGUUUUCUAUGAUGAAGAGGUGGAGCCACCAGAUUGUGCUCUGUCCAGCGUUCAUUGUUUUGGAUUCAUUGGAAUGAUUAACAGGCAAACAUAUCAAUGUUAGCUACAUGAAAAAUCAAAAGAGUGCAGACACUCAUAUGUUCUGUUCAACGCUGGAAUUCCUAAAUCCAAUGGUAGUGUCAUUUCAUCGGUGAAAGUCUCGAAUAGAGUCAUGUAUCUUGUAGAUCCCAUUAAAUGGUGCCUUGCCACUGUUGAUAUGAAAGAAGUGGCACAAAAUGGGAGUAAAGUGCACAAUCUUUUACUUGAUCACACACAAAUCGUGUUGGAGUUAGAUUAGAGUCACCACCACCGGCGUUCACAUUGGUUGUUGUUCACCUGCGCAGCAAACUUGUGAACACAUGCUCAAGUGAUUUCAUGGUUCUCUCUAUUCUCGGUACAUCUUCCACCAUGAAUGUCACACCAAAAGUGGUGAUUUACUACUUAUACUUUCUUUAUCACAAUCGUUCGUAUGGAUGUCUGGAAGCGUUUAUAUCUUACCAAAGACACCACUAGAACAUGUCCAUGUUAGAAAUACACUAGAGGAGAUGAUUGGAAGCAUCGAGGAGUCAGUUGGAGGUUGGAAAGAGUUGCGCCAUAAAUCCAUUGUGCUAAAUAAAAAAAAACAAUCAUUUAUCCGACGAUCAGUAAAAAAAAUGAUCGAAAUCAUCCCACCACUGUGAGAACAAUGUUGCAUAUCAGUCACAUCGAUCAGAUUUAUUGUAGAAAAUAGGCUGUUUUACAAACACUUGGAUGUGAAACAAAAAGUGAUUCACCUGCAGAUUAGUGGUGAGCCAUCAGAUCAGUUUUCUCAAAGGAAUCUGCUCAAGAAAAAGGAUACAUGGAAAUCUGAAUGCAUUCCUAAUUUCGCAGAAUUUUACGGUGGUAUAGUAAGAGAGAAUCUUCUGUUCUGGGUUAUCUUGGCUAAUGCUUCAAACAAUUGCUAUGAUCAAUCCAUUUUUGUCGUUCAUGAUUUUUUAACAAAUCAAAAUGGAUGUUGAUGUGGUGAAAACUAUGAGAGAUGUACCCUUUUGUUUUAUUUUUAAAGAACAUUUCGACACUAUGGACAACAUCAGUCAAAAGAACGAGGCUGUCUUUGUGAAUUUUACAAAGCAUAUUUCAACACGGGCAACUCGAAAAAGGCUUUCUUUUUAGUUGUUUUCAAUGUAGAAGGGUUGACUAGAAAUGUGCCGAGUCAUAUCGUGGUGAAAGCUAUCUUGAUGCAGUGCAUCCUCAUCGGUUUAGCCUCUCUUUUGUAACCUAAACCGAGUUCGUUUUGGUCCUUAUCUCAUCAGGAGUUUUUGGCUUAUCUUUUAGUAUUAUUUAGUAGCUUUAUUUACAGAGAUAUUAUUUAGAAUAACUCUAAUCAUUCUACUAGUUACUGAAAUAACUCAUAUAACUUUGUAAUUAUUAGACUGAAAUCAGAAACAGCCAAAUUUACCAAAAAACCCAACCUUUUAAAUAUUAACUGAAAGUUUUCCAUUACAAUUUAAUAAUAAAUAUAUUUUAAUAUAAAGGAAAAAAAAAAGAAGAAACCUAAACCUUUGUCGGGUCUGUCUUUUCUUUCGUAUUUCACGAAACCAAACUUCCAUCUUUGGCAAUGCCUUCUACAACACCUCCUUCUCCGACACCUCCUCCUACGUUCUUCAAUUACGUCUCCUCCACUGUUAAUCAGCGUCGUCUCCGUCUUCCUCCGCUGUAACUUAACUUCGCCUCAGUUGUCGUUGAGGAACCCAAACUCAAUUUCACUUCUGUCACUUCCGCCAUCAAUUCUAAGUUACUUGAAUCUAAAUGAGUAAACAGGUGAUUGAUGGGCAUCAAUUCAAAUCUUAUGCAAGUGUGCAGAGCCGAAAUAAAACAAAAAGCAGACAAGGUUAACCAUAUGCAAAAUGAGAAGGUGACUAGCCUUCCAAAUUAUAGGAAGUUCGAUGACGUUCCCAAGUUUUUUGAGGCACUAUGUAAUAAAGAAAUGUUGUCUGGAUAGAAAAGGUUAUUAAUACUGUAAACUCGGGAUUUCCAUUCUUGCUUCUUUUUUAUAACCACGAUUCAAAUUUGUAUUAAAAACUAUUUUUAAGUUGCAUUGAUCUUCAUUGUAGGAAUUGAUGAUUUAUGGUUACCAAGUUUCUUUUUUCAAAGUUGGUACUUUUCAUACUUUUCAUGACCAAAGGUUUUCAAAAUUUUAUUUGGUGACUUGACUUCUUAAGUUUUAGAUACAUGACAUCAAUAAUUUUAUCAUAACGUGUCUUUGAACCCUUUUUGGGUCAAAAAUUUCUCUGAACCUUAUACUUUUUAUUAUCAAAUUCUAAUAAAUAACGUUUUGGACCUAAUUGGUUUAUAUGGACAAUGUUUUUUGAUUCGAUGGAUAAAUUUUUUCAUUCCAGUACUAGUUUUAACUUCCUAUUUUCCUAUUUUUUAGAUUCAAAGAUGAAUGUGGUGUUACCAUGUUAGUAAAUUUUUAACCGUAAACAUGUAUCCCCUAUAUACUAAAGCACAAGUCACUGUGCCACUAAAAUUUUGACACAUAGAUAAUGUUGUACAAAAAAAAUAUCUAAAUACUUAAUUUGUCAAUUUAUUUUACUCCCACAUUCAAAACUAACCGUCAGAAUUUCAAAUGUUUUUUUCCUGUAAUUUUUGAUCAACGAAUUUACUAAUUUGACAAAUCAAAGUGGAGCAUAUGGCUUUUACAUAAAAUAUCAAUUAAUGUUAAGAUAAUGCUUAAAAAGCAACCAAUCAGAUAAUUAACAAAACAAUUGUUAGCAAGAAAUUGGCCCUAAACUCAUUCGAUGUUUUAGUUAAAUCCCUAUUUUUUCUCUGAUUACCUCUAUCACGUGCAUGUUAUCUAUAACUUCCAAAUCGUGGCAUUAUUUUAAACUGUUUCGUCUUUAUAUACUGAAUCAAUUCAUUUUUUUCUUUAUUUGCUUUUCUUCUUCUUGUUCUCUAUCGUUUUUAUCUUCUUCAUCAACUUUUUUUCUACAGUUUGUCUGUGUACUAACAAAAAAUAUACAUAUUUGUGACUUUUGUAUUCAUAUUCACUUUUUGUUUUCCUCAAAUUAGUAUCCUUAAAAAAAAAAUUAGUGUGAUUCAAACUGAAGAUGUCACUUGAGCAUACUGAUGUUUCAAAACUUCAUUCUUCAAAACAUGGAAAAUCAUAGCACGUUUGCAAUUGAGAAAUGAGUAAACAGGUGAUUGAUGGGCAUCAAUUCAAAUCUUAUGCAAAUGUGAAGAGCCGAAAUAAAACAAAAAGCAGACAAGGUUAACCAUAUGCAAAAUGAGAAGGUGACUAGCCUUCCAAAUUAUAGGAAGUUCGAUGACGUUCCCAAGUUUUUUGAGGCACUAUGUAAUAAAGAAAUGUUGUCUGGAUAGAAAAGGUUAUUAAUACUGUAAACUCGGGAUUUCCAUUCUUGCUUCUUUUUUAUAACCACGAUUCAAAUUUGUAUUAAAAACUAUUUUUAAGUUGCAUUGAUCUUCA